AAAAGUUGUAUUCUCUCCAUUUUACAGAUGAGGAAAUCAAGGCACAGAGAAGCACAGUACCUACCCAGGGAUCUUAAAGAUUGAAGUUUCUUCAUUUAUUUGUCCUCAGAAAAACGACAUUGAGAAACAGCUGCAAGAUUUAUGAAGAAGAACCUUCAAGUUUUAUGAAAAAGAACUCUAUAAGUAGCCUACUACAAAUAAAAAACACUACCAAUUUAAUCAAGAAGUUCAAGGAAUAAGAUAUGUUUGUAUUGCAUUUCACUUAAAAUACUCUUCAAUUUAAAAGGAGGACUUGGCAAUGUGAAUUUUGCCAGCAACAAAAAAUUCAAAUUCAACAACCAAUUCCACAAUAAUCAUUUUGCCACACUCACAGCAAAUAUCCCUGGAUUCACU
RNAcentral lists this long non-coding RNA (393 nucleotides) under Homo sapiens (human). Its description in RNAcentral is "HSALNT0088409". Lineage: Eukaryota; Metazoa; Chordata; Mammalia; Primates; Hominidae. The record is from RNAcentral.